UACGUAGGGUGCAAGCGUUAAUCGGAAUUACUGGGCGUAAAGCGUGCGCAGGCGGUGAUGUAAGACGGGUGUGAAAUCCCCGGGCUUAACCUGGGAACUGCAUUUGUGACUGCAUCGCUGGAGUGCGGCAGAGGGGGAUGGAAUUCCGCGUGUAGCAGUGAAAUGCGUAGAUAUGCGGAGGAACACCGAUGGCGAAGGCAAUCCCCUGGGCCUGCACUGACGCUCAUGCACGAAAGCGUGGGGAGCAAACAGG
This 253-nucleotide ribosomal RNA is filed under the name uncultured bacterium. RNAcentral describes it as "partial 16S ribosomal RNA". It matches the Rfam family "Bacterial small subunit ribosomal RNA", at positions 524 to 776 of the family's 1533-position model. The record is from RNAcentral.